GGAAGGGAUUCUGGGAGGUUGUGGCAGUGGAAAAUGUUCCUUUGGCCUCUGCCUACCCUCUCAGCUCUUUCCUU
This 74-nucleotide microRNA precursor is filed under the name Otolemur garnettii (small-eared galago). Its description in RNAcentral is "miRNA (ENSOGAG00000026134.1)". The record is from RNAcentral. Lineage: Eukaryota; Metazoa; Chordata; Mammalia; Primates; Galagidae.